Non-coding RNA from Salvelinus sp. IW2-2015, 1159 nucleotides. Lineage: Eukaryota; Metazoa; Chordata; Actinopteri; Salmoniformes; Salmonidae. The record is from RefSeq and is a predicted model, not a curated record.
AUUAACAGGUAUAGAGAGACAUAAGACAGGUCAGACAGACAUUCGAGGGUCAUUAACAGGUAUAGAGAGACAUAAGACAGGUCAUAGACAGACAUCGAGGGUCAUUAACAGGUAUAGAGAGACAUAAGACAGGUCAGACAGACAUUCGAUGGUCAUUAACAGGUAUAGAGAGACAUAAGACAGGUCAUAGACAUUCGAGGGUCAUUAACAGGUAUAGAGAGACAUAAGACAGGUCAGACAGACAUUCGAUGGUCAUUAACAGGUAUAGAGAGACAUAAGACAGGUCAUAGACAGACAUUCGAGGGUCAUUAACAGGUAUAGAGAGACAUAAGACAGGUCAGACAGACAUUCGAGGGUCAUUAACAGGUAUAGAGAGACAUAAGACAGUCAUUGCAGACAUAAAGGAGUAUAGAUGUAUCUAGAGACCGAGUCCUAGGAGGAACUAGAAAGACGUCCUGGACUGUAGAGGACAUGAGGCUGGUCAUAAAGGGACAUUAGAAGACAUUGGUCAGCUUGAUGGCAGAGACGAGCUCCUGUUUUAGGAUGAGAAACUACCAGCAGGAAUGUCAGGUUGUUCUACUGACCUCUAACCUCUGACCCUGCAGAUGGACGAUGCUCCCGAGGCGGAGAAGGAGGAAGCCAAGUCUGAGUAGCAACACUGCCGACCCCUGACCCCAACCCCCAGCCUGCCCCAGUGUUCGUGGUCCCCCUCCAAGGCAUAUUGUUAACAGAGGAAUAUUUUUAUCAGUGAUUUUAUAAGUAUACUAUCUACUGUCCGUACAGAUUUUUAGCACAAAGCAAAGCUGAGUAAUUUGCUGCAGAUCUGCAGUGGUCAUAUCAACAAAGUGUCUGCAGGCAAGAGGAACACACUAAAAUCUUUUUUAAUUAAACAGCAUUUCAUGAUUGUGUAGGAAGCAAAGUGCGUCCCGUCCCAUAGUGAGUUGUGUUCCUGUGCCCCCCUCCUCCACAGUCUCCUAGGGUUCUACCUUAGUCCUGGUUAAUUAACUGUUUUGAUCCCGUCUGUUCUGUGCAGUGAGUUCCUUUUGCUUUGUCUAAAUGUUCCUGUUUUUACAUGAAACAUGUUCUAAGCGUGUUGAAAGUGUGUUGUCCAAUGAGGAAGAGGAUCAUGAGAAAACUUCCGGGCACAGUGACAUGCAUG